GACUCACAGCUGCAUGCACUAGGCUGGCAGAAGUGGGGCCCAUCCACCCACCUUUCAUGGAAGCAGCCCAGAAAAUGAGCGCGGAUGCCAACACCCUGCUCCCGACACCUUUGCUCUAAGCCCUUUCAAAAGGAGCAUUUCAAAUAGGAGCCAUCAACACUUGUAGAGGGUGGGUCUUAAUCCACAGAGGAUCAUUAGCUUCACCCAAGUGAUGGGACAUCCAUCAGCACCACCCAUUCUUCCACCAAUUAUCUAUCUGCUAAUUACGUGGGAUUAAGAGUUGACACGGAGCGCGACAUGGUCUUUAACCACAUAUUUGCACGGCUUAUGCGUGUUUGUGGGGCUCCUCGGUCUCACCCAGUCAAGUUGGACACACCCACAAUGCUGCACAGCACAUUUGCAUCUCGUUGGCUGUCGGCAACCAGUAAAGGACUGCAGGAUGUGUUUACUUCCAAAGGGACUCGGCUCUUGGCAAAAGCUUUCUUGUGGGUAUGCUGGGUGUCUUGGCUUUCUGGCAGUACCGACCUCUGCUUAACUCAGAGCAUGCAUUCAAUCAUUUGUCAAACGUUCAUUAGCUCAAGUACAGUAGCAGGCACAGCACUGUCUCCAGGAGGUUGUACAGAGGUGAAUGAGACACUGUUUCUACAGCUUCAGAGGUUUUUCUCCAGUCAAGGAAAUGCAUGCAAGCAGAGAGAGCUAAGAGGCAUGAGGGAGGGAAAAGCAGCACACCAUGAAAAUAUAACACAAGGAGAGAUCUGUUUGGUCUGAGAAAGCAGGGGAGGCUUCACAGAGGAGGUGGCAUUUUCAGCACAGAGCCAGAGAGAGAAAGGAAUUCCAGGUUGAAGGAACUGCAAAAGCAAGGGCUGCGUGAGGUGUGUGAGAUGUGUGAGGAGAAAGGGGAGCCACCUACGGGAGAUGGCACACAGGCCACGGGUGGGAAGGAGGUGGCCUGGUAGGCUGGGUUGCAUCAUGGAAAACAUUGAAUUUUCUGCUAGGUUUGGAAAUCUACUGGUUUAUUACAGAAAAUGUCACCUUCAAGUGGUGUUUAGAUUAAUACCUUUUCCUUCAGGAAGCUUUCAAGCGCCAUUCAACUUA
Long non-coding RNA from Phyllostomus discolor (pale spear-nosed bat), 1095 nucleotides. RefSeq lists it as uncharacterized. Lineage: Eukaryota; Metazoa; Chordata; Mammalia; Chiroptera; Phyllostomidae. The record is from RefSeq and is a predicted model, not a curated record. The transcript has 3 exons.